UGCCCUCUCAGUGCUCUCUUGCUGCCCCUCCUCAGGGGCAGGAUGCGGAGGAAUAGCAUGAGAAUGCUCGUAGGACGAGAUGAAUACAGGGAGGUCACUUACCAGUGACUGUCAUGGGGAAAAUAGACCUACCUUGGAGAAAACAAAGUUAAUGUAUUGACAAUUGAAAUAGAUUUGCGAGUGAGAAACAAUGAUUAAAACAACACCCAAGCCCUAGAGCAGCACGAGAGAAUGGGGAAUGGGGACUGAUCAGUACAGAACAGCUCCUCUCUGAUGAUCCUUGCUCCAGAGUGGGUUAUUCCAUGGGCCGCAGUCCUGCAGGAUAAACCACCUCCAGCGCGGUCUCUCCAGAGGAGUAUCUGAUCGAGCACUUGCGCAUUAAAAAGCAACUCCUGCUUUAUUAGCAGAAGUUUUCUCUUUAAUUGGGUGCUAAUGAUGGUGCUUUUUCAAGGAUUUUCACAGCUAGUACCUUGGGUGUUGAAACAAAGCAACAUCUCAUUGUGACUGAACAAAAACCCUACUUCAAACUAAUUGCCCUCUAUCUUUGAAUAAGCUAUAGGAAUGCAUCACCUUCUUUAACAAUGCCCUCUGGUCAGCUGGCUUUCUGCACUAGGCAUUCUGCUCCAGACAGAUGUGGGGAAUAUUAAUCAUGACAGGGUUUUACCUCCUACUGACCUGACCUUCAUUGGGGAAGUGAAGAUCUCAGAAUCAGAAUAUCUGAAAGAGCAGAUUAAUUCAGGAUGAGUCCUCUUCAUUUUGGGCCAGAUCUCAAACCAGAAUCAGUCUGAAAACUCUGCUGAAGGUAAAAGAAUCUUGUUAUUGAAACCAGUUGAAUGUCUCCUGCCACAGUAAUCUCUGCACGCUUAGGAGAACUUUACUUUUCACUUGAUUCUAGGAUACCUAAAAUAUUAAAACCACUUAAAUAAGUAUACCCAUAUUAUAUGUAAAUGGUAUAAUUUAGAUUCUUUGGAAGUCGAACUAAAACUAUCAUGAUUGGCACCUUGAA
Long non-coding RNA from Vidua macroura (Pin-tailed whydah), 1006 nucleotides. RefSeq lists it as uncharacterized. Lineage: Eukaryota; Metazoa; Chordata; Aves; Passeriformes; Viduidae. The transcript is spliced from 4 exons. The record is from RefSeq and is a predicted model, not a curated record.